RNAcentral lists this long non-coding RNA (972 nucleotides) under Homo sapiens (human). RNAcentral's name for it is "HSALNT0088722". The record is from RNAcentral. Lineage: Eukaryota; Metazoa; Chordata; Mammalia; Primates; Hominidae.
AGUGAGACGUGUAACCACAACAGAAGUCUGGAGAGAUGGGCUCAAGGAAAGCUACUUUCACAGACUGGGUGAUGGAUCGUCUCCUCAGCAGACAGACAGCUAGAGGUACUUAUUUUUAUAAAAAGUUGACAGAAGGAACUCCAGACAUCCCGGCCUGCUGUCUUCUAAUUCUCACGUCCAGAGCUGACUCAGCCCUGUCUGUUUCCCUUUGCAGGAUGGGUGAGCAGCCAACCAUGUGGAUUUGAUGGAUGUCUCCCAGAUAUGUUCUUAUUUGCCAGCCAAAGACGGAGGAGAGGCCUGUCUACUUUAUUCAAGCAAACUUAAACAACCUGCAUGUUGUCAUGAGCUGGAUACCCACACUGCAUUCCUUAGUAGGCUCCCGACGAAUACCAAUUUUCUAGCUAACUGCUUUCCUUGCCUUCCCAUCCUAAGCCCAAACAUCACUUGCUAGAUUUCAGUGAGAUAGAGCAUCUCCGUAAGGAAACUUAGAUAAGCCACGUCUGACAAAAUCCUUAAGGAUUUCCCUUAUUCCUUAUGGAUUAAGAAAUCCUUAACCCAUAAGGAAUAAGGGAACUCCACAAGGAAACUUUUGUAAGAGAUUUCAUGAGAAAUGCCAGGCCUGCCUUUGGGUCAAUGCACACUCACUCCCAUCUCCUACAACCUGUGGCUGCAGUACUCACUACCGGCCAGUUGCAAUCCAAGAUCGGAAUGUUGAGUCUGACAUGCUGCGACGUUUAUAACCAUCCAAGAAGAAAAAUAAAAUAAACCAAAAAACAGCUUUGUGGCCGGGCGCAGUGGCGCAAGCCUGUAAUCCCAGCACUUUGGGAGGCCAAGGUGGGCGGAUCACGAGGUCAGGAGAUUGAGACCAUCCUGGCUAACAUGGUGAAACACCGUCUCUACUAAAAAUACCAAAAAUUAGCCCGGUGUGGUCGCAAGCGCCUGUCGUCCCAGCUACUUGGGAGGCUGAGGCAG